ACCCGCUGAACUUAAGCAUAUUACUAAAGGCAGGACAAGAAAAUAACAAUGAUUCCCCCAGUAACUGCGAGUGAAGUGGGAAAAGCCCAACGUUGAAAGCUGUGACUCUAACGGAUCAUCGCAUUGUAACGUAUAGAUUUGUUCUCAAGGCAGUUGCCUACAUCAAAGUUACAUAGAAUAGUACACCAGAGAGGGUGGUAGUCCCGUGAGUGAUGUAGGUUACAAAACUGUCGAGUAGACAAACUCUAAGAGUCGAGUUGUUUGGGAUUGCAGCUCAAAUUGGGUGGUAAACUCCAUCUAAGGCUAAAUACAGACACGAGACCGAUGGCGAACAAGUACCGUGAGGGAAAGUUGAAAAGUACUCUGAAAAGAGAGUGAAAAGUACGUGAAACCUUUAAUGGGGAAGCAGACAGUGGAAUCGAAGCUGUGUCCUCAUUGUGUGUUACGGUGUGGUAACACUGUUGUUGUUGUCACUUGUGGUGCAUGUAUUGUGGUGCAUAGCGCGCUGGGCCCAUCGUUCAAACAUAGCAUCCCUUAAGAAAGGAUGUGGGUCGACUUGUGAUGCAGCCAUAUGAUAGUGUUGUGUGGAUUCGCGUUCAUUUGAUCGUUGUGUGGUGCAUUGCAUAAGUUGUAAGAUCAAUAGGAGCGAUGUGGUGGACAUUUGUGCGGUGCCAGUAAUGGGCAAUGUAUUGGUGUGCGAUAGGAACAACAGCAGUCUUCUGAUUGUUGGAUCAUGUGUGUUGUUGCAUUGAUUUGCAUGCACAUCUGCAAGGGUGUGUGUGUGAAGGUGUGACUACGCAUGGUUGUGAGUGUUGUGUGCGAGUGCAUUGUCGAUUGCACACGUGUCGGUAGUGUGCAUAUCCCAGCGAGAUAUGGUACUGUCUGACCCGUCUUGAAACACGGACCAAGGAGGCUAACGUAUGCGCAAGUCGAGGAGUGGAGAAACUCUAAGGCGAAACGAAAGUGAAAAGUGAGAUCCCC
Molecule: ribosomal RNA, 981 nt
Filed under: Chloromyxum fluviatile
Lineage: Eukaryota; Metazoa; Cnidaria; Myxozoa; Bivalvulida; Chloromyxidae
Description: eukaryotic LSU rRNA
Rfam family: Eukaryotic large subunit ribosomal RNA
Source: RNAcentral